RNAcentral lists this ribosomal RNA (460 nucleotides) under uncultured bacterium. RNAcentral's name for it is "partial 16S ribosomal RNA". It matches the Rfam family "Bacterial small subunit ribosomal RNA", at positions 338 to 795 of the family's 1533-position model. The record is from RNAcentral.
CCUACGGGGGGCUGCAGUGAGGAAUAUUGGUCAAUGGGCGGAAGCCUGAACCAGCCAAGUCGCGUGAGGGAAUAAGGCCCUACGGGUCGUAAACCUCUUUUGCCGGGGAGCAAGGGCGGGGACGUGUCCCGGCCCGGAGAGUACCCGGAGAAAAAGCAUCGGCUAACUCCGUGCAAGCGGCCGCGGUAAAGAGGAGGAUGCGAGCGUUAUCCGGAUUGAUUGGGGGAAAAGGGUGCGUAAGCGGCCUGCUAAGUCUGGGGUGAAAGGUACCGGCCAAACCGGUACAGGCUCUGGAAACUGGCGGGCUAGAGAGCAGGAGAGGGCAGUGGAACUCCAUGUGUAGCGGUAAAAUGCGUAGAUAUAUGGAAGAACACCAGUGGCGAAGGCGGCCGCCUGGCCUGUUACUGACGCUGAGGCACGAAAGCGUGGGGAGCAAAUAGGAUUAGAUACCCCUGUAGUC